CUCAGGAGAAGGAACUCGGCAAAUUGACACCGUAACUUCGGGAGAAGGUGUGCCCUUGUAGGGUGAAGUCCCUUGCGGAUGGAGCUCGAAAGGGUUGCAGUGAAAAGGUGGCUGCGACUGUUUAUUAAAAACACAGCACUCUGCAAACACGAAAGUGGACGUAUAGGGUGUGACGCCUGCCCGGUGCUGGAAGAUUAAAUGAUGGGGUGCAAGCUCUUGACUGAAGUCCCAGUAAACGGCGGCCGUAACUAUAACGGUCCUAAGGUAGCGAAAUUCCUUGUCGGGUAAGUUCCGACCCGCACGAAUGGCGUAACGAUGGCCACACUGUCUCCUCCUGAGACUCAGCGAAGUUGAAAUGUUUGUGAAGAUGCAAUCUCCCCGCUGCUAGACGGAAAGACCCCGUGAACCUUUACUGUAGCUUUGCAUUGGACUUUGAACAGACUUGUGUAGGAUAGGUGGGAGGCUUUGAAGUGGGAACGCCAGUUCUCAUGGAGCCGUCCUUGAAAUACCACCCUGGUGUGUUUGAGGUUCUAACCUGGGUCCGUCAUCCGGAUCGGGGACCGUGCAUGGUAGGCAGUUUGACUGGGGCGGUCUCCUCCCAAAGUGUAACGGAGGAGCUCGAAGGUCUCCUAGGUACGGUCGGACAUCGUACUGAUAGUGUAAUGGCAUAAGGAGGCUUAACUGCGAGACCGACAAGUCGAGCAGGUGCGAAAGCAGGACAUAGUGAUCCGGUGGUUCUGUAUGGAAGGGCCAUCGCUCAACGGAUAAAAGGUACUCCGGGGAUAACAGGCUGAUACCGCCCAAGAGUUCACAUCGACGGCGGUGUUUGGCACCUCGAUGUCGGCUCAUCACAUCCUGGGGCUGUAGCCGGUCCCAAGGGUAUGGCUGUUCGCCAUUUAAAGUGGUACGUGAGCUGGGUUUAAAACGUCGUGAGACAGUUUGGUCCCUAUCUGCAGUGGGCGUUGGAAGUUUGAGGGGGGCUGCUCCUAGUACGAGAGGACCGGAGUGGACGUGCCUCUGGUGUACCGGUUAUGACGCCAGUCGUAUCGCCGGGUAGCUAUGCACGGAAGAGAUAAGCGCUGAAAGCAUCUAAGCGCGAAACUUGCCUCAAGAUGAGACUUCCCUGGCAGCUUGACUGCCCUGAAGGGUCGUGGAAGACCACCACGUUGAUAGGUCGGGUGUGGAAGCGCAGUAAUGCGUUAAGCUAACCGAUACUAAUUGCCCGUGCGGCUUGAUCCU
This 1239-nucleotide ribosomal RNA is filed under the name wastewater metagenome. Its description in RNAcentral is "bacterial LSU rRNA". It matches the Rfam family "Bacterial large subunit ribosomal RNA", at positions 1699 to 2925 of the family's 2925-position model. The record is from RNAcentral.